GGAAUAUAAGAAUCCGUCUCUUAACUUUUAACUAAAAAAAUUAAGAACCGGCUCUUAAAACUCUUAUUUAAGAACCGGUUCUUAGUUUUUUUAGUUAAAAAUUAAGAGACGGAUUAUUAUAUUCC
MicroRNA precursor from Brassica oleracea var. oleracea, 125 nucleotides. It matches the Rfam family "MIR9563 microRNA precursor family". The record is from Rfam. NCBI's taxonomy places the organism in Eukaryota, Viridiplantae, Streptophyta, Magnoliopsida, Brassicales, Brassicaceae.